Molecule: ribosomal RNA, 443 nt
Filed under: uncultured prokaryote
Description: bacterial SSU rRNA
Rfam family: Bacterial small subunit ribosomal RNA
Source: RNAcentral
UAGGGGAUAUUGGUCAAUGGGCGAGAGCCUGAACCAGCCAUGCCGCGUGCAGGACGACGGCCUUCUGGGUUGUAAACUGCUUUUAUACAGGAAUAAAAAGGGCCUGCGGGCCUCAUUGCAUGUACUGUAUGAAUAAGCACCGGCUAACUCCGUGCCAGCAGCCGCGGUAAUACGGAGGGUGCAAGCGUUGUCCGGAUUUAUUGGGUUUAAAGGGUGCGUAGGCGGUUUAUUAAGUCAGUGGUGAAAGCCCACAGCUCAACUGUGGAAUUGCCAUUGAAACUGGUAGACUUGAGUACAGACGAGGUAGGCGGAAUUUAUGGUGUAGCGGUGAAAUGCAUAGAUACCAUAAAGAACCCCGAUAGCGAAGGCAGCUUACUAGGCUGUAACUGACGCUGAGGCACGAAAGCGUGGGGAGCGAACAGGAUUAGAUACCCGUGUAGUCC